GGAAAGGCGCGCGAUACAGGGUGACAGCCCCGUACACAAAAAUGCACAUGCUGUGAGCUCGAUGAGUAGGGCGGGACACGUGGUAUCCUGUCUGAAUAUGGGGGGACCAUCCUCCAAGGCUAAAUACUCCUGACUGACCGAUAGUGAACCAGUACCGUGAGGGAAAGGCGAAAAGAACCCCGGCGAGGGGAGUGAAAAAGAACCUGAAACCGUGUACGUACAAGCAGUGGGAGCACGCUUAGGCGUGUGACUGCGUACCUUUUGUAUAAUGGGUCAGCGACUUAUAUUCUGUAGCAAGGUUAACCGAAUAGGGGAGCCGAAGGGAAACCGAGUCUUAACUGGGCGUUAAGUUGCAGGGUAUAGACCCGAAACCCGGUGAUCUAGCCAUGGGCAGGUUGAAGGUUGGGUAACACUAACUGGAGGACCGAACCGACUAAUGUUGAAAAAUUAGCGGAUGACUUGUGGCUGGGGGUGAAAGGCCAAUCAAACCGGGAGAUAGCUGGUUCUCCCCGAAAGCUAUUUAGGUAGCGCCUCGUGAAUUCAUCUCCGGGGGUAGAGCACUGUUUCGGCAAGGGGGUCAUCCCGACUUACCAACCCGAUGCAAACUGCGAAUACCGGAGAAUGUUAUCACGGGAGACACACGGCGGGUGCUAACGUCCGUCGUGAAGAGGGAAACAACCCAGACCGCCAGCUAAGGUCCCAAAGUCAUGGUUAAGUGGGAAACGAUGUGGGAAGGCCCAGACAGCCAGGAUGUUGGCUUAGAAGCAGCCAUCAUUUAAAGAAAGCGUAAUAGCUCACUGGUCGAGUCGGCCUGCGCGGAAGAUGUAACGGGGCUAAACCAUGCACCGAAGCUGCGGCAGCGACGCUUAUGCGUUGUUGGGUAGGGGAGCGUUCUGUAAGCCUGUGAAGGUGUGCUGUGAGGCAUGCUGGAGGUAUCAGAAGUGCGAAUGCUGACAUA
Molecule: ribosomal RNA, 958 nt
Filed under: Escherichia coli
Lineage: Bacteria; Pseudomonadati; Pseudomonadota; Gammaproteobacteria; Enterobacterales; Enterobacteriaceae
Description: partial 23S ribosomal RNA
Rfam family: Bacterial large subunit ribosomal RNA
Source: RNAcentral